Molecule: ribosomal RNA, 468 nt
Filed under: uncultured bacterium
Lineage: Bacteria
Description: partial 16S ribosomal RNA
Rfam family: Bacterial small subunit ribosomal RNA
Source: RNAcentral
GACGAACGCUGGCGGCGUGCUUAACACAUGCAAGUCGAACGGAAAGGCCCUGCUUUUGUGGGGUGCUCGAGUGGCGAACGGGUGAGUAACACGUGAGUAACCUGCCCUUGACUUUGGGAUAACUUCAGGAAACUGGGGCUAAUACCGGAUAGGAGCUCCUGCUGCAUGUGGGGGGUUGGAAAGUUUCGGCGGUGGGGGCUGGACUCGCGGCUUACGAGCUGGUUGGUGUGGUAGUGGCUGACGAAGGGUUUGACGGGUAGCCGGCAUGAGAGGGUGACCGGCCACAUUGGGACUGAGAUACGGACCAGAAUCCUACGGGAGGCAGCAGUGGGGAAUCUUGCACAAUGGGCGGAAGCCUGAUGCAGCAACGCCGCGUGCGGGAUGCCGGCCUUCGGGUUGUAAACCGCUUUCGCCUGUGACGAAGAGUGAGUGACGGUAAUGGGUAAAGAAGCACCGGCUAACUGCGUG